This 224-nucleotide unclassified non-coding RNA is filed under the name Hevea brasiliensis (rubber tree). Lineage: Eukaryota; Viridiplantae; Streptophyta; Magnoliopsida; Malpighiales; Euphorbiaceae. The record is from RNAcentral.
GUUCCUGAUGAGGAUUUUGCUAAGGUAAUGUACACUCCUUUUCCUUGUACAAUUAAGAAAUGAACAUGUACAUGCAAAGCAGGGAAGACACAGUCUGCACUUUGUGUUGCUUGGCACUUAACUAAUUAUUGUGCAUUAAUUUGUGGGGCUUUUUUUCUUCAUUUGUUUCUUUCAUGCAUGAUGCCUAUGUUCAAUUACUCACUCAGUUUCGAUCUCCCUCUUUG